RNAcentral lists this ribosomal RNA (253 nucleotides) under uncultured bacterium. RNAcentral describes it as "partial 16S ribosomal RNA". It matches the Rfam family "Bacterial small subunit ribosomal RNA", at positions 524 to 776 of the family's 1533-position model. The record is from RNAcentral.
UACGUAGGGUGCGAGCGUUAAUCGGAAUUACUGGGCGUAAAGUGUGCGCAGGCGGCGUUGCAAGUCGAGUGUGAAAUCCCCGAGCUUAACUUGGGAAUUGCGCUCGAAACUACGAUGCUCGAGUGUGGCAGAGGAAGGUGGAAUUCCACGUGUAGCGGUGAAAUGCGUAGAUAUCAGCAGGAACACCCAUGGCGAAGGCAGCUUCCUGGGUCGGCCCUGACGCUGAGGCGCGAAAGCGUGGGGAGCGAACAGG